UCUGGCGUUUACUGACGACCUUCUCUGUGACAUUUCCUCCGGCAUCGAUCUCCAUCGACGACAUCUCCUACAGCGGCGAUUUCAUCCGGUGUCGUCUCCUGCAACUUCCUCUCCUUGUCGUCCUCUGUGUCUUCUCCGCCAAAAUCGUCAACGCCUUCCUCUUCGACGAUCCAGAUCCGCCGCUAGGGAUUGCAUUCCGCAGGAGAGGAAUUCCUUUGUCAACUUCCAAGCCAAAACCGGUGUAGAGAAUGCAGAACUGUGUCUGGUGUUGUUGGACCGUUGGAUACUCUUGAUAAAGUUAAGGUAAUGACUAGUUUUGAUGCUAUGCUUAUUGCAUAUUCUAGAAUUUUGAACUUUUCUCAAUGAAAUGUUUCACUUUCUGUGUGGUGUGACUGAAUUUUAUACUGAUCAACUGCAAUAGGGACCAAAAUUUCAAGAGAUUGUUAAACUAGAAAUUAAACUUUCUGUUUCUUGUGUAAUUAUUUGAACUAGAAAUUAAACUUUCUGUUUCUUGUGCAGUGAUCUUAGCAACAACCACAUUGGAGGGACAUUCCAUUCACUGUGUAAUAAA
Molecule: long non-coding RNA, 571 nt
Organism: Arachis duranensis
Lineage: Eukaryota; Viridiplantae; Streptophyta; Magnoliopsida; Fabales; Fabaceae
Exons: 3
Source: RefSeq, a predicted model, not a curated record